AGAUUGAACGCUAGCGGGAUGCUUUACACAUGCAAGUCGAACGGCAGCGCGGACUUCGGUCUGGCGGCGAGUGGCGAACGGGUGAGUAAUAUAUCGGAACGUGCCCAGUAGCGGGGGAUAACUACGCGAAAGCGUGGCUAAUACCGCAUACGCCCUACGGGGGAAAGGGGGGAUCGCAAGACCUCUCACUAUUGGAGCGGCCGAUAUCAGAUUAGCUAGUUGGUGAGGUAAAGGCUCACCAAGGCGACGAUCUGUAGCUGGUUUGAGAGGACGACCAGCCACACUGGGACUGAGACACGGCCCAGACUCGUACGGGAGGCAGCAGUGGGGAAUUUGGACAAUGGGGGAAACCUGAUCCAGCCAUCCCGCGUGUGCGAUGAAGGCCUUCGGUGUAAGUACUACGUUUGUCGAGGAAGAACGGACGUGACCUAAGUACGGACGUCACUGACGUACC
RNAcentral lists this ribosomal RNA (454 nucleotides) under uncultured soil bacterium. RNAcentral describes it as "bacterial SSU rRNA". It matches the Rfam family "Bacterial small subunit ribosomal RNA", at positions 26 to 478 of the family's 1533-position model. The record is from RNAcentral.